This is a non-coding RNA of Pyrobaculum arsenaticum DSM 13514, 72 nucleotides long. Lineage: Archaea; Thermoproteati; Thermoproteota; Thermoprotei; Thermoproteales; Thermoproteaceae. The record is from Rfam.
GCGGCCGUAGCUCAGCGGGAGAGCGCCCGGCUGAAGACCGGGCGGUCCCGGGUUCAAAUCCCGGCGGCCGCA